RNAcentral lists this ribosomal RNA (1225 nucleotides) under Bacillus sp. (in: firmicutes). Its description in RNAcentral is "Bacillus sp. (in: Bacteria) partial 16S ribosomal RNA". It matches the Rfam family "Bacterial small subunit ribosomal RNA", at positions 261 to 1508 of the family's 1533-position model. Lineage: Bacteria; Bacillati; Bacillota; Bacilli; Caryophanales; Bacillaceae. The record is from RNAcentral.
GCUCCACUCAAUGGCACGAUGCUAGCGUACUGAAAGCGGAUCGGCACUGACUGAGCAUACCGCAGUCUACGGAGGCAGCAGUAGAAUUCCUCCGCCAUGACCGAAAGUCGACGGAGCACGCCGCUGAGUAUGAAGCUUCCGGGUCGUAACUCGUGGUUAGGGAAGAACAAGUGCUAGUGGAAUAAGCUGCACCCUUGACGGUACCUACCAGAAAAGCACCGGCUACUACGUGGCCAGCAGCCGCGGUAUACGUAGGUGGCAAGCGUAUCUGAAAUAUUGGGCGUAAAGCGCGCGCAGGUGGUUUCUAAGUCUGAUGUGAAAGCCCACGGCUCAACCGUGGAGGGUCAUUGGAAACUGGGAGACUUGAGUGCAGAAGAGGAAAGUGGAAUUCCAUGUGUAGCGGUGAAAUGCGUAGAGAUAUGGAGGAACACCAGUGGCGAAGGCGACUCUCUGGUCUGUAACUGACACUGAGGCGCGAAAGCGUGGGGAGCAAACAGGAUUAGAUACCCUGGUAGUUCACGCCGUAAACGAUGAGUGCUAAGUGUUAGAGGGUUUCCGCCCUUUAGUGCUGAAGUUAACGCAUUAAGCACUCCGCCUGGGGAGUACGGCCGCAAGGCUGAAACUCAAAGGAAUUGACGGGGGCCCGCACAAGCGGUGGAGCAUGUGGUUUAAUUUGAAGCAACGCGAAGAACCUUACCAGGUCUUGACAUCCUUUGAAAACCCUAGAGAUAGGGCUUUUCCUUCGGGAGCAGAGUGACAGGUGGUGCAUGGUUGUCGUCAGCUCGUGUCGUGAGAUGUUGGGUUAAGUCCCGCAACGAGCGCAACCCUUGAUUUUAGUUGCCAUCAUUAAGUUGGGCACUUUAAGGUGACUGCCGGUGACAAACCGGAGGAAGGUGGGGAUGACGUCAAAUCAUCAUGCCCCUUAUGACCUGGGCUACACACGUGCUACAAUGGACGGUACAAAGAGCUGCAAGACCGCGAGGUGGAGCUAAUCUCAUAAAACCGUUUUCAGUUCGGAUUGUAGGCUGCAACUCGCCUACAUGAAGCUGGAAUCGCUAGUAAUCGCGGAUCAGCAUGCCGCGGUGAAUACGUUCCCGGGCCUUGUACACACCGCCCGUCACACCACGAGAGUUUGUAACACCCGAAGUCGGUGGGGUAACCUUUUUGGAGCCAGCCGCCUAAGGUGGGACAGAUGAUUGGGGGAAGUCGAAUAGGAGUAUACGGG